This 133-nucleotide non-coding RNA is filed under the name Vigna radiata var. radiata (mung bean). Lineage: Eukaryota; Viridiplantae; Streptophyta; Magnoliopsida; Fabales; Fabaceae. The record is from Rfam by way of RNAcentral.
CAACACCCGUCACACUAUGAGAGCUGGACAUACCCGAAAUCGUUACCUUAAUUGCAAGGAGGGAGAUACCGAAGAUAGGACUAGUGACUGAAGUAAAGUCGUAACAAGAUAACCGUACUGGAAGGUGUGACUG